RNAcentral lists this ribosomal RNA (251 nucleotides) under uncultured bacterium. Its description in RNAcentral is "partial 16S ribosomal RNA". It matches the Rfam family "Bacterial small subunit ribosomal RNA", at positions 524 to 776 of the family's 1533-position model. The record is from RNAcentral.
UACGGAAGGGGCAAGCGUUGUUCGGAAUCAUUGGGCGUAAAGGGCGCGUAGGUGGUUCUGUAUGUCUACCGUGAAAGCAUACAGCUCAACUGUAUUUGUCGGUAGAAACUGCAGGACUUGAGGCUGGGAGGGGCUGGUGGAAAUUCCCUGUGUAGCGGUGAAAUGCGUAGAGAUGGGGAGAACACUCGUGGCGAAGGCGGCCAGCUAGACCAGUUCUGACACUGAGGCGCGACAGCGUGGGAGCAAACAGG